This 253-nucleotide ribosomal RNA is filed under the name uncultured bacterium. RNAcentral describes it as "partial 16S ribosomal RNA". It matches the Rfam family "Bacterial small subunit ribosomal RNA", at positions 524 to 776 of the family's 1533-position model. The record is from RNAcentral.
UACGUAGGCAGCAAGCGUUGUUCGGAAUUACUGGGCGUAAAGAGUGUGUAGGUGGUGCUCCAAGUCUGUUGUGAAAUCUCCCGGCUUAACUGGGAGGGUGCGGCGGAAACUGGAAUGCUUGAGGAUGGGAGAGGAAAGCGGAAUUCCUGGUGUAGCGGUGAAAUGCGUAGAUAUCAGGAGGAACACCCGUGGUGUAGACAGCUUUCUGGACCAUUUCUGACACUGAGACACGAAAGCGUGGGUAGCAAACAGG